AGUGAACGCUGGCGGUAGGCCUAACACAUGCAAGUCGAACGGCAGCACAGUAAUAGCUUGCUCUUACGGGUGGCGAGUGGCGGACGGGUGAUGAAUACAUCGGAAUCUACUUUUUCGUGGGUGAUAACGUAGGGAAACUUACGCUAAUACCGCAUACGACCUACGGGUGAAAGCAGGGGAUCUUCGGACCUUGCGCGAUUGAAUGAGCCGAUGUCGGAUUAGCUAGUUGGCGGGGUAAAGGCCCACCAAGGCGACGAUCCGUAGCUGGUCUGAGAGGAUGAUCAGCCACACUGGAACUGAGACACGGUCCAGACUCCUACGGGAGGCAGCAGUGGGGAAUAUUGGACAAUGGGCGCAAGCCUGAUCCAGCCAUACCGCGUGGGUGAAGAAGGCCUUCGGGUUGUAAAGCCCUUUUGUUGGGAAAGAAAAGCAGCAGGUUAAUACCCCGCUGUUCUGACGGUACCAAAAGAAUAAGCACCGGCUAACUUCGUG
This 492-nucleotide ribosomal RNA is filed under the name uncultured bacterium. RNAcentral's name for it is "partial 16S ribosomal RNA". It matches the Rfam family "Bacterial small subunit ribosomal RNA", at positions 29 to 507 of the family's 1533-position model. The record is from RNAcentral.